Molecule: transfer RNA, 74 nt
Filed under: Sharpea azabuensis
Lineage: Bacteria; Bacillati; Bacillota; Erysipelotrichia; Erysipelotrichales; Coprobacillaceae
Rfam family: tRNA
About the family: Transfer RNA (tRNA) molecules are approximately 80 nucleotides in length. Their secondary structure includes four short double-helical elements and three loops (D, anti-codon, and T loops).
Source: Rfam by way of RNAcentral
GGUCGGUUGGUGAAGUGGUCAACACACUUGGUUCUCAUCCAAGCAUUACAGGGGUUCGAACCCCCUACCGACUA